UCACAGCCAGCUUUGAUGGGC
Molecule: microRNA, 21 nt
Filed under: Drosophila mojavensis
Lineage: Eukaryota; Metazoa; Arthropoda; Insecta; Diptera; Drosophilidae
Also listed under: 4 other names
Description: miR-2c-RA
Source: RNAcentral